UACGAAGGGGGCUAGCGUUGUUCGGAAUUACUGGGCGUAAAGCGCGCGUAGGCGGGUAUUUAAGUCAGGGGUGAAAUCCCAGAGCUCAACUCUGGAACUGCCUUUGAUACUGGGUACCUAGAGUCCGGAAGAGGUGAGUGGAAUUGCGAGUGUAGAGGUGGAAUUCGUAGAUAUUCGGAGGAACACCAGUGGCGAAGGCGGCUCACUGGUCCAUUACUGACGCUGAGGUGCGAAAGCGUGGGGAGCAAACAGG
Molecule: ribosomal RNA, 253 nt
Filed under: uncultured bacterium
Lineage: Bacteria
Description: partial 16S ribosomal RNA
Rfam family: Bacterial small subunit ribosomal RNA
Source: RNAcentral